Molecule: ribosomal RNA, 433 nt
Filed under: uncultured bacterium
Lineage: Bacteria
Description: partial 16S ribosomal RNA
Rfam family: Bacterial small subunit ribosomal RNA
Source: RNAcentral
AACGAACGCUGGCGGCAUGCCUAACACAUGCAAGUCGAACGAGACCUUCGGGUCUAGUGGCGCACGGGUGCGUAACGCGUGGGAACCUGCCCUUAGGUUCGGAAUACCUCCCCGACAGGGGUGCUAAUACCGGAUAAUGUCUUCGGACCAAAGAUUUAUCGCCUUUGGAUGGGCACGCGUUGGAUUAGCUAGUUGGUAGGGUAAAAGCCUACCACGGCGACGAUCCAUAGCUGGUCUGAGAGGAUGAUCAGCCACACUGGGACUGAGACACGGCCCAGACUCCUACGGGAGGCAGCAGUGGGGAAUAUUGGACAAUGGGCGAAAGCCUGAUCCAGCAAGGCCGCGUGAGUGAUGAAGGCCUUAGAGUUGUAAAGCUCUUUUACCCGGGAUGAUAAUGACAGUACCGGGAGAAUAAGCUCCGGCUAACUCCGUG